Molecule: ribosomal RNA, 1512 nt
Filed under: Triticum aestivum (bread wheat)
Lineage: Eukaryota; Viridiplantae; Streptophyta; Magnoliopsida; Poales; Poaceae
Description: partial small subunit ribosomal RNA
Source: RNAcentral
AUGCUGCUCCACCACCUCCUCCCCCCCUCCUCCAGGGCCCCGUUCCGCCCCUCUCCGCGGCGACCGUGUGGCGGCGCGUUCACGGUCCGGUGCGCCUCCUCCUCGGCCCCGUCGUCGUCGUCGGCCGGGCAGCAGGUGGCGAAUGUGCACAGCUACGGCACGGUGGACUUCGAGCGGCGCCCGGCGCUGCGGUGGAGCAGCCUGUACCGGCGGGUGGCGGUGGGCCACGGCGGCCGGCCCGUGGGGCGGACGCUCGCGGACUGGGACGAGGGCGAGCGCCGCCUCGACAAGUGGGAGCUCUGCCGCAUCGCCAGGGAGCUCCGCAAGUUCCGCCGCUUCAACCUCGCACUGGAGGUUUAUGAUUGGAUGACUGAUCGAAGGGAUAGAUUUUCGCUAUCAUCUAGUGAUAUGGCAAUCCAGUUAGAUCUGAUUGCAAAAGUACGUGGUGUUCCAGAUGCUGAAGAAUACUUUGAAAAGCUUCCUGAACCACUGAAAGACAAGCGAACAUAUGGGUCUCUUCUCAAUGUUUAUGCCCAAGCUAGGAUGAAAGAGAAAACAGAAUACACAUUUGAGCAGAUGAGGAAAAAAGCGUUUGCAACUGACACAUUACCUUUUAAUGUGUUGAUGAAUUUUUACGUGGAUGUUGCAGAGCCUGAGAAAGUGUCUACAGUUACUGAUGAGAUGAAGCAAAGAAAUAUCGCCUUUGAUGUCUGCACUUACAACAUUUGGAUAAAGUGCUGUGCAGCUAUGAAAGACGCUGAUGCAAUGGAACGAGUCUUUAACCAGAUGAUUGCUGAUGAGUCUGUUGUUGCCAACUGGACUACUUAUACCACACUUGCUAGCAUGCAUAUCAAGCUGGAGAACUUUGAGAAGGCAGAAGAAUGCCUGAAAGAAGCUGAGAAGCGAGCAACGGGUAGGGAUAAGAAAUGUUUCCAUUUUCUCAUUACACUCUAUAGCCACCUUCAGAAGAAGGAAGAAGUCUACCGCAUUUGGAAUUGGUAUAAAGCAACUUUCAAGACAAUUCAUAACCUGGGUUACCAGGAGGUGCUGUCUGCCCUUGUUAGGCUAGGAGAUAUAGAGGGAGCUGAACUUCUAUACGAAGAAUGGGCAUCCAAAAGUUCUAGUUUCGAUCCGAAGACUAUGAACAUUUUAUUAGCAUGGUAUUCUAGAGAAGGUUUUGUUGUGAAGGUUGAGCAAACUCUGAACAGAUUUGUUGAGAAAGGUGGGAACCCCAAACCAAAUACCUGGGAAAUCCUUGCCACGGCGUACCUGAAGGACAAUCAGUUUGCUGAAUCUCUGUCAUGUUUGGAAAAAGCCACUGCAGUUAAAAGUGCAAGUAAAUGGAGACCAAGACCAACCAAUGUUGAGAGUCUCCUGGCAUAUUUCAAGGAGAAGAAUGACACGGAGAGUAUCGACAGGUUAAUGAGUGUACUCAGAAGUAGAGGGUGUGCUGAGAACGAAGAGUACAAGUCAUUGAUUGACACCUAUGCUUUGGUGGUUGCGGGCACGUGA